RNAcentral lists this ribosomal RNA (253 nucleotides) under uncultured bacterium. RNAcentral describes it as "partial 16S ribosomal RNA". It matches the Rfam family "Bacterial small subunit ribosomal RNA", at positions 524 to 776 of the family's 1533-position model. The record is from RNAcentral.
UACAGAGGGUGCGAGCGUUGUCCGGAAUCACUGGGCGUAAAGGGCGCGUAGGUGGCGCGGUGCGCGUGCCGUGAAAGCCCGGGGCUCAACCCCGGGUCGGCGGUGCGAACGGCUGUGCUUGAGCGUACGAGAGGCAGGCGGAAUUCCGGGUGUAGCGGUGGAAUGCGUAGAGAUCCGGAAGAACACCGGUGGCGAAGGCGGCCUGCUGGCGUACGGCUGACACUGAGGCGCGACAGCGUGGGGAGCAAACAGG